AACGCACAUUGCGCUCCUUGGUAUUCCGGGGAGCAUGCCCGUUUCAGAAUCAUUUAAUCAUCUCACUGCUCUCAUGGGCAGCUGGAUGUUGGAUGGUCUUUUUGAACUCUCUCUCCUUUGAGGGGGUGCAAUCAUCUGAAAUGUGAUUGUACGUGGCCCUUGCUGUCAUGGUUGGCUGGCUCACCUGGUGCAACAGAUUUAUUCAUCUUUACGCCUUGUGGUCCGUCAAUCUGAGCUUGGUUUGUCUUGCGUACACCCAAGUACUACACAGACGGCGUCAGUUGUCUGAUAACUUGGUCUGAAAUCGGGCAAGAAAACCCGCUGAACUUAA
This 331-nucleotide unclassified non-coding RNA is filed under the name uncultured fungus. RNAcentral describes it as "partial contains 5.8S ribosomal RNA, internal transcribed spacer 2, and large subunit ribosomal RNA". The record is from RNAcentral. Lineage: Eukaryota; Fungi.